AGCGAACGCUGGCGGCAGGCCUAACACAUGCCAGUCGAACGAACUCUUCGGAGUUAGUGGCGGACGGGUGAGUAACACGUGGGAACCUGCCUUUUGGUUCGGAAUAACUCAGGGAAACUUGUGCUCAUACCGAAUGUGCCCUUCGGGGGAAAGAUUUAUCGCCAUUUGAGCGGCCCGCGUCUGAUUAGCUAGUUGGUGAGGUAACGGCUCACCAAGGCGACGAUCAGUAGCUGGUCUGAGAGGAUGACCAGCCACACUGGGACUGAGACACGGCCCAGACUCCGACGGGAGGGAGCAGUGGGGAAUCUUGCGCAAUGGGCGAAAGCCUGACGCAGCCAUGCCGCGUGAAUGAUGAAGGUCUUAGGAUUGUAAAAUUCUUUCACCGGGGACGAUAAUGACGGUACCCGGAGAAGAAGCCCCGGCUAACUUCGUG
This 433-nucleotide ribosomal RNA is filed under the name uncultured bacterium. RNAcentral's name for it is "partial 16S ribosomal RNA". It matches the Rfam family "Bacterial small subunit ribosomal RNA", at positions 29 to 507 of the family's 1533-position model. The record is from RNAcentral.